This 465-nucleotide ribosomal RNA is filed under the name uncultured bacterium. Its description in RNAcentral is "partial 16S ribosomal RNA". It matches the Rfam family "Bacterial small subunit ribosomal RNA", at positions 28 to 507 of the family's 1533-position model. The record is from RNAcentral.
GACGAACGCUGGCGGCGUGCUUAACACAUGCAAGUCGAACGGAAAGGCCCUGCUUGCCGGGUACUCGAGUGGCGAACGGGUGAGUAACACGUGGGUGAUCUGCCCUGCCCUUCGGGAUAAGCCUGGGAAACUGGGUCUAAUACCGGAUAGGAGCCAUUUUUAGUGUGAUGGUUGGAAAGUUUUUUCGGUGUAGGAUGAGCUCGCGGCCUAUCAGCUUGUUGGUGGGGUAAUGGCCUACCAAGGCGGCGACGGGUAGCCGGCCUGAGAGGGUGGACGGCCACAUUGGGACUGAGAUACGGCCCAGACUCCUACGGGAGGCAGCAGUGGGGAAUAUUGCACAAUGGGCGCAAGCCUGAUGCAGCGACGCCGCGUGGGGGAUGACGGCCUUCGGGUUGUAAACUCCUUUCGCUAGGGACGAAGCUUUUUGUGACGGUACCUAGAGAAGAAGCACCGGCUAACUACGUG